RNAcentral lists this ribosomal RNA (253 nucleotides) under uncultured bacterium. RNAcentral describes it as "partial 16S ribosomal RNA". It matches the Rfam family "Bacterial small subunit ribosomal RNA", at positions 524 to 776 of the family's 1533-position model. The record is from RNAcentral.
UACGUAGGGUGCGAGCGUUAAUCGGAAUUACUGGGCGUAAAGUGUGCGCAGGCGGCCGCGCAAGUCGAGUGUGAAAGCCCCGGGCUUAACUUGGGAAUUGCGCUCGAAACUACGUGGCUAGAGUGUGGCAGAGGGAGGUGGAAUUCCACGUGUAGCGGUGAAAUGCGUAGAGAUGUGGAGGAACACCGAUGGCGAAGGCAGGCUCCUGGGCCAACACUGACGCUCAUGCACGAAAGCGUGGGGAGCAAACAGG